ACCCUUGUUCAAAACCAGAGGGGGGAAAAAAAAAGGAAAAAGACUUGUUGAGAAGGCUGCGACGUUUAGACGCGACGAGCAAGAGACACAAGCUAAAACGGCUAUUAAAAAAAAAAAUAAAUAAUAAUAAUAACCCAGACACCUACUCGGUUGUUUUGUAAGUUUGUUUUAGGCGCUUUCGGUCGACAGUUUUGUUUUAGGACGAACACUCUGACAGGUAUGAGAAUCUGAAUCGAAUGUAGGACGCUAGCAUAGCUAACCAGCUAACAGCGAGUCAUGAUUGGCCUUUUGCUUUAACCGGCGUUACGUUUGUUUGUAACGUUGAAGGACAAAGAUUACGAGUAGCCAACCGCGGCGCUCUCCUCCAGUGUCACGUCGGCCAGUACUUUUUUAAGUGAAUAGUUUUUUUUACCACGAUGGGUCGAAUAAUCGAGCUUGGCCACGUUUCGCGCGCGCGACAUGCCUGUUUUUGCGUGGCUCGGGGGUCGCACGCGGGCGUUGCUAGCGGCCACGAGCUCUCCCACGUUGCGGUGAGACCCGGAUCGGCGAGUCAUGGCGGGCGACACAGACCGGGCGACGCUGCCUGUGGGCCAGACGUGGGAAGACGAGUCCAGCAUCUUCAAGUGGAAGGACGUUGUGCUGUGGAGUUUCCCAAGCCCUCACCCCCCCUCAAGCAGGACUAUGUGCUUACUGACCUGGAUGCCAGCUCUUUAAUUUCUCAAGCCUGAACAUAGGUGACUUUAAGGACUAGGUUACGCAGGAUGUUGGAGCCAUUGUGAACAUGUUGAACAAAAUGUAUCCUGCCAGCAAAUGUUUUCCCUUCAUAAUGGGUGGAAUAAAGUCUAUUAACUCAAGUCUGAGAGCUGACAGCCUCACACCCUGAAAACCCCUUCGAGGUCACAACCAAAGUUCAGCCUGGACCUCCGCCUGCUGCACAUAUCUCCUGUCCUUGAUCCCUGAGCUGCUGCAGUGCGACCUGAAGUGACCCCGAUCGGAUGCAGACAACUACAACUUCAAUAGGCUGUGACUGCUUCCUACUGCUCAUCAUCAUGACCCAAAUCCUGCCACUGUUAUGCUGAGAUCCCGGAUUCUGUCUGGGGACCUGAAAACCCAGCAUGCAGGUUCUUACACAGAUGGACACAGUGUUGGACCAGAGUAGCAUGUCAGACGUUGAUGGUAAACACCAUCAGCAUUGUUGUAGCUGCACAUCAUUCACAGCUUGAACACUGAUGACCAUUGUGUAACUUGAGAAGUUCGAAGCUCUACAGCUGUAUUGUGGGCUUUUUGCUGGUGAGCAACAGUGGGAAGUUCAGUCUUUCCACAUUUAUUUUCAAAUAAACUUUGGCUUUACUAUAAAAAAACAUGGACUGGACCACAUCUGUAGUAAAUGUGCAAAAACUCUGUCAUAUAUAUUUCUAACAUCCUUGUCAUAGCCUCUAACUGUUCAGUAAUCCUUUGAGUCUAGCAGUUUUAACUGGACUGGGUUGAUAGUGUCUGUGGAUUCCUGGGAAGGAUUUGCCGUUUUUGUGAUUUCCUUGCAUCAUCAGAGGCGACAGCUCAUCAUAACUGUCUUCAUAUUCUCUGUGGUUUUGUCAGUCGGAAAUGGGCCCCGGGCUUGAUAGUGCCUGCAUUUGGUUAAAGCUGGUGCUGGGUAAUGUGACAUGAAAUCCAUAUGAUUUGUCAUUUACUUAAGUAAUAA
Xiphias gladius (swordfish) is the source of this 1699-nucleotide long non-coding RNA. RefSeq lists it as uncharacterized. NCBI's taxonomy places the organism in Eukaryota, Metazoa, Chordata, Actinopteri, Istiophoriformes, Xiphiidae. The record is from RefSeq and is a predicted model, not a curated record. The transcript has 6 exons.